AAAUAAGAAGCGAUUUAUUGCAAUUAGUUUCGACCUAAUCUUAGAUAAUUAUUAUCCUUAUUUA
Molecule: transfer RNA, 64 nt
Filed under: Mastotermes darwiniensis (giant northern termite)
Lineage: Eukaryota; Metazoa; Arthropoda; Insecta; Blattodea; Mastotermitidae
Description: tRNA-Arg
Source: RNAcentral